This 340-nucleotide small RNA is filed under the name Pongo abelii (Sumatran orangutan). Its description in RNAcentral is "processed transcript". Lineage: Eukaryota; Metazoa; Chordata; Mammalia; Primates; Hominidae. The record is from RNAcentral.
GCCAGUCUCAGGGUACACCUAUUGCCAGGGAGCUCCCACUGACUCCUUGUGAGUGUAGCACAGAUUUGUUGCGACUGGACCAUCUGCACGUCUGGGCUUCAGAGCUGUUCUCCCCAGCUGCUUUCUGCCAGGUCCUCUCAGAGGCAGCCACCCUCCCUGGGCAGAGCAAAACCUUGAGCUGUGUUUGGAUUUUGUUUCUGGGCCUAAGCCCAAGGCUUCAGUUUCACAUUUUUGGUACCUCUGGUGGUGCCUGGGAGGGAGCCACUGCUGUACAGAGAUGCCAAUUCCAGAGGCAUGGUCCGGCACAGAGCAGUGGCUUCCAGCUGAAGGACACGUGUAA